This 474-nucleotide ribosomal RNA is filed under the name Streptococcus sp. oral taxon 071. Its description in RNAcentral is "bacterial SSU rRNA". It matches the Rfam family "Bacterial small subunit ribosomal RNA", at positions 28 to 485 of the family's 1533-position model. The record is from RNAcentral. Lineage: Bacteria; Bacillati; Bacillota; Bacilli; Lactobacillales; Streptococcaceae.
GACGAACGCUGGCGGCGUGCCUAAUACAUGCAAGUAGAACGCUGAAGAGAGGAGCUUGCUCUUCUUGGAUGAGUUGCGAACGGGUGAGUAACGCGUAGGUAACCUGCCUGGUAGCGGGGGAUAACUAUUGGAAACGAUAGCUAAUACCGCAUAAAAUGGAUUAUCGCAUGAUAAUCCAUUGAAAGGUGCAAAUGCAUCACUACCAGAUGGACCUGCGUUGUAUUAGCUAGUUGGUGGGGUAACGGCUCACCAAGGCGACGAUACAUAGCCGACCUGAGAGGGUGAUCGGCCACACUGGGACUGAGACACGGCCCAGACUCCUACGGGAGGCAGCAGUAGGGAAUCUUCGGCAAUGGACGGAAGUCUGACCGAGCAACGCCGCGUGAGUGAAGAAGGUUUUCGGAUCGUAAAGCUCUGUUGUAAGAGAAGAACGAGUGUGAGAGUGGAAAGUUCACACUGUGACGGUAUCUACCA